RNAcentral lists this ribosomal RNA (301 nucleotides) under uncultured bacterium. RNAcentral describes it as "partial 16S ribosomal RNA". It matches the Rfam family "Bacterial small subunit ribosomal RNA", at positions 509 to 807 of the family's 1533-position model. The record is from RNAcentral.
CAGUAGCCGCGGUAAUACAGAGGAUGCAAGCGUUAUCCGGAAUGAUUGGGCGUAAAGCGUCUGUAGGUGGCUUUUCAAGUCCGCCGUCAAAUCCCAGGGCUCAACCCUGGACAGGCGGUGGAAACUACCAAGCUGGAGUACGAUAGGGGCAGAGGGAAUUUCCGGUGGAGCGGUGAAAUGCGUCGAGAUCGGAAAGAACACCAACGGCGAAAGCACUCUGCUGGGCCGACACUGACACUGAGAGACGAAAGCUAUGGGAGCAAAUGGGAUUAGAUACCCCCGUAGUCCCUGUCUCUUAUAC